This 400-nucleotide ribosomal RNA is filed under the name uncultured bacterium. Its description in RNAcentral is "bacterial SSU rRNA". It matches the Rfam family "Bacterial small subunit ribosomal RNA", at positions 29 to 454 of the family's 1533-position model. The record is from RNAcentral.
AACGAACGCUGGCGGCAGGCCUAACACAUGCAAGUCGAACGCCCGUAGCAAUACGGGAGUGGCAGACGGGUGAGUAACGCGUGGGAACGUGCCCUUCGGUUCGGAAUAACUCAGGGAAACUUGAGCUAAUACCGGAUACGUCCGUAAGGAGAAAGAUUUAUCGCCGAAGGAUCGGCCCGCGUCGGAUUAGCUAGUUGGUGAGGUAACGGCCCACCAAGGCGACGAUCCGUAGCUGGUCUGAGAGGANGAUCAGCCACACUGGGACUGAGACACGGCCCAGACUCCUACGGGAGGCAGCAGUGGGGAAUAUUGGACAAUGGGCGAAAGCCUGAUCCAGCCAUGCCGCGUGAGUGAAGAAGGCCUUAGGGUUGUAAAGCACUUUCAGUAGGGAAGAAAAGCC